Molecule: ribosomal RNA, 433 nt
Filed under: uncultured bacterium
Lineage: Bacteria
Description: partial 16S ribosomal RNA
Rfam family: Bacterial small subunit ribosomal RNA
Source: RNAcentral
CGACCGCUGGCGGCAGGCUUACCACAUGCAAGUCGCACGGGCAUCUUCGGAUGUCAGUGGCAGACGGGUGAGUAACACGUGGGAACGUACCCUUCGGUUCGGAAUAACUCAGGGAAACUUGAGCUAAUACCGGAUACGCCCUUUUGGGGAAAGGUUUACUGCCGAAGGAUCGGCCCGCGUCUGAUUAGCUUGUUGGUGGGGUAACGGCCUACCAAGGCGACGAUCAGUAGCUGGUCUGAGAGGAUGAUCAGCCACACUGGGACUGAGACACGGCCCAGACUCCUACGGGAGGCAGCAGUGGGGAAUAUUGGACAAUGGGCGCAAGCCUGAUCCAGCCAUGCCGCGUGAGUGAUGAAGGCCUUAGGGUUGUAAAGCUCUUUUGUCCGGGACGAUAAUGACGGUACCGGAAGAAUAAGCCCCGGCUAACUUCGUG